Long non-coding RNA from Trifolium pratense (red clover), 473 nucleotides. RefSeq lists it as uncharacterized. The record is from RefSeq and is a predicted model, not a curated record. The transcript is spliced from 3 exons. NCBI's taxonomy places the organism in Eukaryota, Viridiplantae, Streptophyta, Magnoliopsida, Fabales, Fabaceae.
ACAUCCUUUUCAGUCUUUACUUUUUUACGCUUAAUAUUUUCCAAUUCCUUUUGUUUCCUCUCUCACUCACUCUUUUCUAUUGCCAAACCCUAGCCGCCGCCGUGCAUUCCCUCCUUCUCCUCCGUUUUCUCAACUCUUUCUCCACCAUCCCAUCCAUCCACUGUCGUCAAACUCAAAAAGUAAGAUAUAAAACUGCUCAUGGUUGAGGAACAAAGAUGCUGAUCGACAGAUUUCUCUUCAGAUCUACAUGGUAUAUAAAUUUUUUCAAAUCUGUCCUUGUUGGAUCCAUAGAUCUGUGAAGUUGUAUAUUGAGAUAGGAAACUCUAAGGAUUGGAGGUUUGAAUGAAGAAAAAAAAUGAUCGACAAGUCAUGUUGGCAUUGGAAUAAUUCCUUCAAGUGUUUAUGGAUUUUAAGUGUUGUAAUAUUUUUUGAUAGUGUUUUGUUGAAUAUAUAAUGUUAUUGAAUGUAUUUUA